AAGCUUCGGGCGGCGGUUUCUGGCUACUUUUGAUGCGUCUAAAUUUAACGGGGAAAUCGAUGGAUGUUGAAUAAUUGCAUAUGGCUUAAGACAUACAAAUUGGUAUUUUUGGAAUUCUUCUGGGGCACGAGGAAGGAGGUGGUGGACCCCUGCAGUUGAAUCGUUUCGAAAAGUAUAUAAAGAUGAGAACUGCAUUAUUCAAACAGAUAACAGGAGAUACAAGCAUUUUGGAACAACAGUUUGAAAAGAAAAGAUAAUAAUGAACUACAGAGUUGUGUGUGGAUUUUUGCUCCUGAGCUUACUUCUGCUGAGCCCUUUGGUCAUACAAGAAACCCGAGCAUUAGCAGUGGACAAAAAAAAGAUCAUGAAAGCUCUUUUCCUCACCAAACUUGCCCUGAAGAAGAAGAAACUUCUUGUUGUGCCACUCCCAGUCCCCAUUAUGGUGGAAAAAAAGCACCAUGAGCAUCAUAUCGAACACCAUGACUGGAAACAUCAUGGUUAUUAACAGCUUUGAAGCAUCACAGCCGCAUGUAAUCUUAAACUAGCUGUUAACCAAAAUAAUCUAAAUCAUCUGUUCAACUCUCA
Molecule: long non-coding RNA, 585 nt
Organism: Uloborus diversus
Lineage: Eukaryota; Metazoa; Arthropoda; Arachnida; Araneae; Uloboridae
Exons: 3
Source: RefSeq, a predicted model, not a curated record